Molecule: ribosomal RNA, 222 nt
Filed under: uncultured bacterium
Lineage: Bacteria
Description: partial 16S ribosomal RNA
Rfam family: Bacterial small subunit ribosomal RNA
Source: RNAcentral
UACGAGGGGGGGCAAGCGUUUGUUCGGAAUUACUGGGCGUAAAGAGCUCGUAGGUGGUUUGUCGCGUUGUCCGUGAAAUUCCCUGGCUUAACUGGGGGCGUGCGGGCGAUACGGGCAGACUGGAGUACUGCAGGGGAGACUGGAAUUCCUGGUGUAGCGGUGGAAUGCGCAGAUAUCAGGGAGGAACACCCAAUGGGCGAAAGGCAGCUCGCUGGGACGGUA